UGCAUGGUUGUCGUCAGCUCGUGUCGUGAGAUGUUGGGUUAAGUCCCGCAACGAGCGCAACCCCUAUUGUUAGUUGCCAUCAUUCAGUUGGGCACUCUAGCGAGACUGCCGGUAAUAAACCGGAGGAAGGUGGGGAUGACGUCAAGUCAUCAUGCCCCUUAUGACCUGGGCUACACACGUGCUACAAUGGUUGGUACAACGAGUUGCGAGUCGGUGACGGCGAGCUAAUCUCUUAAAGCCAAUCUCAGUUCGGAUUGUAGGCUGCAACUCGCCUACAUGAAGUCGGAAUCGCUAGUAAUCGCGGAUCAGCACGCCGCGGUGAAUACGUUCCCGGGCCUU
Molecule: ribosomal RNA, 339 nt
Filed under: uncultured Streptococcus sp.
Lineage: Bacteria; Bacillati; Bacillota; Bacilli; Lactobacillales; Streptococcaceae
Description: bacterial SSU rRNA
Rfam family: Bacterial small subunit ribosomal RNA
Source: RNAcentral